RNAcentral lists this ribosomal RNA (429 nucleotides) under Actinomycetes bacterium. RNAcentral describes it as "Actinobacteria bacterium partial 16S ribosomal RNA". It matches the Rfam family "Bacterial small subunit ribosomal RNA", at positions 355 to 776 of the family's 1533-position model. Lineage: Bacteria; Bacillati; Actinomycetota; Actinomycetes. The record is from RNAcentral.
UAGGGAAUCUUCCGCAAUGGGCGAAAGCCUGACGGAGCAACGCCGCGUGAGUGAUGAAGGUCUUCGGAUCGUAAAACUCUGUUAUUAGGGAAGAACAAAUGUGUAAGUAACUAUACACGUCUUGACGGUACCUAAUCAGAAAGCCACGGCUAACUACGUGCCAGCAGCCGCGGUAAUACGUAGGUGGCAAGCGUUAUCCGGAAUUAUUGGGCGUAAAGCGCGCGUAGGCGGUUUUUUAAGUCUGAUGUGAAAGCCCACGGCUCAACCGUGGAGGGUCAUUGGAAACUGGAAAACUUGAGUGCAGAAGAGGAAAGUGGAAUUCCAUGUGUAGCGGUGAAAUGCGCAGAGAUAUGGAGGAACACCAGUGGCGAAGGCGACUUUCUGGUCUGUAACUGACGCUGAUGUGCGAAAGCGUGGGGAUCAAACAGG